This 429-nucleotide unclassified non-coding RNA is filed under the name Hevea brasiliensis (rubber tree). The record is from RNAcentral. Lineage: Eukaryota; Viridiplantae; Streptophyta; Magnoliopsida; Malpighiales; Euphorbiaceae.
GCAUGCAGCUGCAAAUUGCAAGGUGAUUACAAUUAUUUCAAUAUUAGAAAAAAAGUUUUGCUUAUUUGAACAUUAUUUUACAGUUGAUUGUUCUAUUGCUAUUCAUUGAAUAAAAAAAAAUCAUGCAUCUACAUAGUGGGAGAAAUUGAAAUGAUUUGAGAUGUUUUCAAUUUUCUUGAAAAUCUAAAUGAUGUACAGUACCAUUUAUGAAUAUAGGCUCACUUUGUUUAACAGGAAAUGUUUUCCCUAAAAAAUUUUCGACAUUUUCUAGUGUUUGGGUUUAAGGAUGGCAAUGGAUAGGGUAUCUGUAAAAAUAUUCUAUCUAAACCCAAACGCAUCCUAAAUUCGAUUAUUAAUACCCAAAUAACACCAUUGAUGAUAGUAACUUCCCUUUUCUUUUCUUUUAUUUUUUUUUUUUUUCCCUCUAUU